Molecule: non-coding RNA, 437 nt
Filed under: Spirochaeta lutea
Lineage: Bacteria; Pseudomonadati; Spirochaetota; Spirochaetia; Spirochaetales; Spirochaetaceae
Description: Eukaryotic large subunit ribosomal RNA
Rfam family: Eukaryotic large subunit ribosomal RNA
Source: Rfam by way of RNAcentral
CUCAAAUCAGAUAAGGCUACCCGCUGAAUUGAAGCAUCUUAGUAAGCGGAGGAAAAAGAAAAUAACCAUGAUUCCCUUAGUAACGGCGAGUGAAGCGGGAAGAGCCCAGCGUGAAAAUCCCUUUCGGCGCGCCAGCGCGGGCAGGGAGUUGUAGGGUGAAGAGGGAUGCUGCAGCGCGUGCCGAGUCUAAGUGCGUUUGGAAUGCGCCGCCAGAGAGGGUGAGAGCCCCGUGAGUUGCUCGGGAUGACAUGCGCAGACGAAUAGUGUCCCAUUGGCGAGUCGCGUUGCUUGGGAGUGCAGCGCAAAGUUUGGGAGGUAGAGCCCUCCUAAGGCUAAAUACUGGCAAGAGACCGAUAGCGAACAAGUACCGUGAGGGAAAGAUGAAAAGAACUCCGAAAGGAGAGUGAAAUAGGACUUGAAAUCGUGCAGAAGAAAGC